CGGCGUGCCUAACACAUGCAAGUCGAAUGGGACCAGGGGCAACUCUGGUUCAGUGGCGGACGGGUGCGUAACACGUGAGAACAUGACCUUCGGCGGGGGAAGCCGGCCCAACGGCCGGGUAAUACCGCGUACGACCUUUUGGGGACAUCCUCGAGAGGUGAAAGCAGCAAUGCGCCGAUGGAGUGCCUCGCGGCCUAUCAGCUAGUUGGUGGGGUAACGGCCUACCAAGGCGACGACGGGUAGCUGGUCUGAGAGGAUGGCCAGCCACAUUGGGACUGAGACACGGCCCAGACUCCUACGGGAGGCAGCAGUGGGGAAUAUUGCGCAAUGGACGAAAGUCUGACGCAGCGACGCCGCGUGUGGGAUGACGGUCUUCGGAUUGUAAACCACUGUCGGGAGGGACGAAUACGCCGCAAGGCGGGUGACGGUACCUCCAAAGG
RNAcentral lists this ribosomal RNA (440 nucleotides) under uncultured bacterium. Its description in RNAcentral is "bacterial SSU rRNA". It matches the Rfam family "Bacterial small subunit ribosomal RNA", at positions 40 to 487 of the family's 1533-position model. The record is from RNAcentral.